Molecule: ribosomal RNA, 273 nt
Filed under: uncultured bacterium
Lineage: Bacteria
Description: partial 16S ribosomal RNA
Rfam family: Bacterial small subunit ribosomal RNA
Source: RNAcentral
AUACGGAGGGUGCAAGCGUUACUCGGAAUCACUGGGCGUAAAGCGCGCGCAGGCGGCUAUUUAAGUUGGAUGUGAAAGCCUACGGCUCAACCGUAGAACUGCAUCCAAAACUAUUUAGCUAGAGUGUGGGAGAGGAAGAUGGAAUUAGUUGUGUAGGGGUAAAAUCCGUAGAGAUAACUAGGAAUACCAAAAGCGAAGGCAUCUUCUGGAACACUACUGACGCUGAGGCGCGAAAGCGUGGGGAGCAAACGGGAUUAGAAACCCCAGUAGUCC